This 433-nucleotide long non-coding RNA is filed under the name Salvia miltiorrhiza (redroot sage). Its description in RNAcentral is "long non-coding RNA (SMIL_LNC010770)". Lineage: Eukaryota; Viridiplantae; Streptophyta; Magnoliopsida; Lamiales; Lamiaceae. The record is from RNAcentral.
UAUUAAAAUAUAUUUUUUUAUUUAUUUAUGUUUUGAUUUUAUUUAAUAUUUAUGUUUAUUUAUUUAAACAUAUCAUUUAAUUUCGAUGUUCGCUGUGCAUCGCACGAAUUGACGUACUAGUUUAAACAAAAUACAAGUUUAAAUACAAUCCAUACAUUAUAAUGGAACUUAAACUUAUUAAAAUAAGAUUUUAUAAAAAACGAAAAAAACAAAAAAACCUAGACAAACCCUUGAAAGUACAGAACGUAAACUAAGGGCCGAGCCUCAUUAAAACCUUUUUAUGGAAAACCCCAAGAGAAAAACCAUAACAAGGAAAAAGAGUACUCGUCUACCAACAGCAGCAAAACAUGAAGCGAAAAAACAACAAACCAGCGACCGGGGGAAAAGGGGGGUGGGGAAAAUCUUCAGGAACUCCGGCCUAACCAUCGUCCCU